AAGGUGGAACAGGCUAACUUGGGUCUUAGCAGGGUUUGCCUUCAGUUGGUUGUCCCUGCAGUAGUUUGUCAAGUUGUCUAAGGAUGAUGAGAGGGGAGCUUCUACCUCAUCUAUGUGAGUGCUCUGGGCUGCUAUUCCAAGGUCGUCAGCGUAAAUGAAGCUUCUCAAGCUUCAGGGCUG
Long non-coding RNA from Amblyraja radiata (thorny skate), 180 nucleotides. RefSeq lists it as uncharacterized. The record is from RefSeq and is a predicted model, not a curated record. The transcript is spliced from 3 exons. NCBI's taxonomy places the organism in Eukaryota, Metazoa, Chordata, Chondrichthyes, Rajiformes, Rajidae.